This 399-nucleotide long non-coding RNA is filed under the name Pan troglodytes (chimpanzee). RNAcentral's name for it is "lincRNA". The record is from RNAcentral. Lineage: Eukaryota; Metazoa; Chordata; Mammalia; Primates; Hominidae.
AAGAGGACUGGGGGAGUUUGUUGCCACCUUUUGCCAUGUGAGAACGCACACUGAAGGCAGCAUCUUUACAAAAUGACCCCUCACUAAACACUGAAUCUACUGGAGACUUGAUCUUGGAAUUUCCAGAUUUGUGAAUUUGCAUUUCACAAUCCAAAAACAGUAAUGCCCUUUGAAGAAAUACAACUCCCAGUAACAGCACAGAGUCUGCUAGACUGUCCUGUCAACGUCAGUGGGGUUGCCUAGAUUGAUUAUGGCCUGUUCCUUUGACAAGCACCUAAGGCCCCUGGAUUUCUCCAGGCACUCAUUAGUGUGACUGCUAAUCCCUCUCAAAGGCCCUGAAGAUACUUCUUUAGAGAUCGAAAGUAAUUUUCUGGUAUUCCAUCUAAUCUAUAUUCUAAG